Molecule: long non-coding RNA, 929 nt
Organism: Bos taurus (domestic cattle)
Lineage: Eukaryota; Metazoa; Chordata; Mammalia; Artiodactyla; Bovidae
Source: Ensembl
UCACAGACCCUUCAUCCCUGCCUGACCCUGAUCUCGGGCGCCUGCACCCCGCAACUCCGCUUGGAGUCCACGCAGACACUGCGCCCGCGCCAAGGUUGCCUGGACAGGGAGGGCGGGGAAGCGGGAGCACCGCAUCCAUUUCAUUCAUGAUUUUCUCCUCUCGGAAGCCCCGAGGCCCGGGCCGCGCCGCUACGGCGGCCGUCAGAGGGACCCCGGCAGGGCCGUGAGCACCGAACCCGGUGCAGGAGCGACAGGCAGACAGCUGAGGGGGGUACCAAGGUGCACCAUCACAGAGCUACACCCUGAUGCCAGCUACCGCCCUCUUUGACCUGGAUUUCUACAAUAGCCUCCUUCCUGGUACCCCCGCUGCCACCCUUGACCCCCUGCAGUCGAUUCUCUACUGUCAGAGCUAACCUUUGAAAACAAUACCAUGGGGAGCAUCGUUUUCUGUUUGCAUUACUGUUGGAUCCCAAGUGUCAUGGACCGUGCCCGAUAUAUAGCAGAUACUCAAUAACAGUUUUGUCGAACACUUAAAUGAUAAUUUCAGAGAGGAAGGACAGAACCAUAUAUCUGAAAUGGUAAAGUAGGUCAAUUUUUUACCGGCUCAUGUUUUCUUUCUCUUUCUUUCUUUUCUCAUUUUCUUCCUUUUUCUCUACUCAUUUCCAUGAUGAACUCGAGGCAGCUCUAGCACUUAACGCUCAGAGCAAGUCUUCAGGAGGGUUUUCUGACUGUAGAUCCUGAUCUUACUGUCAUGGGUAUAGCAAAUGUGUCAAGGGGGUUUCAUGAUGCUGAUUUUGAUGGACUCUUUCAAAGAAAAAUGGACAUUUCCCUGACAUCUAAGUCUGCAAAGGCAAUCCUUUUAGGGGUCUAAGAAUAGUGUCUAAGUACCAUUCCCAACGAUUAAGGUUUUAUAGCAGAUCCUGUAGGGA